UACGUAGGGGGCGAGCGUUGUCCGGAUUUAUUGGGCGUAAAGAGCUCGUAGGCGGCUCGGUAAGUCGGGUGUGAAAACUCUAGGCUCAACCUAGAGACGCCACCUGAUACUGCUGUGGCUAGAGUCCGGUAGGGGAGCAUGGAAUUCCUGGUGUAGCGGUGAAAUGCGCAGAUAUCAGGAGGAACACCAGUGGCGAAGGCGGUGCUCUGGGCCGGUACUGACGCUGAGGAGCGAAAGCGUGGGGAGCAAACAGG
This 254-nucleotide ribosomal RNA is filed under the name uncultured bacterium. Its description in RNAcentral is "partial 16S ribosomal RNA". It matches the Rfam family "Bacterial small subunit ribosomal RNA", at positions 524 to 776 of the family's 1533-position model. The record is from RNAcentral.